GUGGGGAAUUUUGGACAAUGGGCGAAAGCCUGAUCCAGCCAUGCCGCGUGCAGGAUGAAGGCCUUCGGGUUGUAAACUGCUUUUGUACGGAACGAAACGGUCCGGGUUAAUACCCUGGGCUAAUGACGGUACCGUAAGAAUAAGCACCGGCUAACUACGUGCCAGCAGCCGCGGUAAUACGUAGGGUGCAAGCGUUAAUCGGAAUUACUGGGCGUAAAGCGUGCGCCGGCGGUUUUGUAAGACAGGCGUGAAAUCCCCGGGCUCAACCUGGGAAUUGCGCUUGUGACUGCAAGGCUGGAGUGUGGCAGAGGGGGAUGGAAUUCCGCGUGUAGCAGUGAAAUGCGUAGAUAUGCGGAGGAACACCGAUGGCGAAGGCAAUCCCCUGGGCCUGCACUGACGCUCAUGCACGAAAGCGUGGGGAGCAAACAGGAUUAGAUACCCCUGUAGUCC
RNAcentral lists this ribosomal RNA (450 nucleotides) under uncultured bacterium. RNAcentral's name for it is "partial 16S ribosomal RNA". It matches the Rfam family "Bacterial small subunit ribosomal RNA", at positions 354 to 796 of the family's 1533-position model. The record is from RNAcentral.